UUUAAAGUCUAACCUGCCCAAUGAGGAGUUAAAUGGCCGCGGUAACCUGACCGUGCAAAGGUAGCAUAAUCAUUAGUUUUUUAAUUGAAAGCUGGUAUGAACGGUUGGACGAGAGAAUAACUGUCUCAAUUUAAUUGUUUGUAGAAUUUUAUCUAUAAGUAAAAAAGCUUAUAUAAUUUUAAAAGACGAGAAGACCCUAUAGAGUUUUAUAUUUUUUAUUAUAGGAGGUGAUAAGGAUUUUUGUGCUUUUUUUAUAAUAAAAAAUAUUUUGCUGGGGCAGCAGAAAAAUUAAUUAAACUUUUUUUACUCAAAAACAUUGAUUUAUGGGUAAGUGAUCCAUUAUUUAUGAUUAUAAGAUUAAAUUACCUUAGGGAUAACAGCGUAAUUUUUUUUUAGAGUUCUUAUCGAAAAAAGAGUUUGCGACCUCGAUGUUGGAUUAAAAUUAACUUUUGGUGUAGGGGCUAAAAGGUUAGGUCUGUUCGACCUUUAAAAUUUUACAUGAUCUGAGUUUAAACCGGCGUGAGCCAGGUUGGUUUCUAUCUUUAAAAAAAUUAGAUAUCUUAGUACGAAAGGAUUAGAUAUUUUUAAAAUUUAGUAUAUUUUGAAUAGGAUUAA
Molecule: ribosomal RNA, 615 nt
Filed under: Anomala polita
Lineage: Eukaryota; Metazoa; Arthropoda; Insecta; Coleoptera; Scarabaeidae
Description: partial 16S ribosomal RNA
Rfam family: Bacterial large subunit ribosomal RNA
Source: RNAcentral